Molecule: long non-coding RNA, 2810 nt
Organism: Poecile atricapillus (Black-capped chickadee)
Lineage: Eukaryota; Metazoa; Chordata; Aves; Passeriformes; Paridae
Exons: 9
Source: RefSeq, a predicted model, not a curated record
UGAGAAAAGGGAAAAGAAUGGGGGGAAAAGGCGCGUGCGGUGGCCGGGACCCCCCCGCGGGAGGAGCGGGGGGAGCGCGGAGCCCCCGGCGCGCUCGGGCCCGGCGGGCAGAGCUCCGCACCCGCGGAGCCCCGGCGGGGCGGGCAGAGGCGCAGCCCCGGGACCCCCGACCCGCUCCCGAGUUCCAAAAUGACCUUUCCCUGCAUCGUUUUGGAGGUAACCGAGCUGCGUAAUUAUAUUUGCACUUCCAGAAGACUGCAUCAGAGUCCCCUUAUUGGUUUGAAAUUCCAUUAAAUAUAUUGCAAGAGCUCCUAGGUUAAGCUUGAUUUAAAUUUGCAUACAUUUUCAUAUAUUUAGCAGAAAUAAAAGAAGGCUUGCAGCUACCAGAAAGUCAUUAAGGCAUUAGUUUCUCUGAGAAGACAGAUCUGAAGAAAAUUCAAGAAAAUGAGAAAAUAGAUCUAAAUAAGGCUCUCCCGGGCCACCCCACGCCCGUGAGGAGGACAUGGAGAAGCUUCCCACGCCCGUUUUGGUGGAAAUCGAGGCAUUUUCCGCCCCGGGACGGACUCAUCCCCUUCAGCUGGGAGUUUUAGCCGCAGGUGGAGUUGAAUACAGUGGUUAACUACAAGCAAUAUGUUCUGAAGACGGUGGUGUUCAGACAAAUACCCAAUUUGAUUCUGAUAAAUUGGAUGCAAGACUUUGACCAGCAUGAGAAGAACAGGCAUUGUGGAAGCAGGCAGCAUCCCACACCUGUGGAGGAGCUCAGCAGGAGAACAAAUGGGGGAAAAUAUUCCCAAUGUCGUGUUGCUGCUGGUGGCUCAGGGAGUUUGAACAGAGGUCUGUGGUGGUCCAGCUCGUUGGAAACUUUUGUGCUCAAACCAGGAGGAUGCUCCAGCUGGAGCUAAUCCCUGAAUUUCAAAUCUGUGCCUCCGCCGGUUUUGACACCGUGCAAUGAAGCAUCCGAGCUCUCAAGAUGUCUGGCUCUUCCGAGUUGUGAAAUGAGAAAACAAACAAACCCAACCAUUCCAGCCCUGUCAAUCUACUUCUCCAUGGACAGAUGCCCUGGUGCCGGAAAAGCUUCAUCCCAUGAUCCCACACCUCUUGGCUGUGCCAAAAAAAAAAACAACCAGAGAUCUACUGGACGCAAAAGCACGGCGGUUCCUCACCUCAAAAAAAUGGUGUUUAUGGCCACUCUGGAGCUCCUGGGUGAGGCUGUGUGGGGAAAUGUGUGCAGCCUCUUGUUCUGGCAUUCCUGGUCUCCCAGAUAAUCCAUCAGAUCUGCUCCUGGAGGAAGGUGCCUCUGGACAGUGAUGGAUUAACUGCUGAGGGUCCAGGCUAAGAAUUUGCCAAGGGCAUCAACAGCAGUUUUCCCAGGCUCCGGCACAAGGAUUAUGUAGUCAAUCCACAAAUGACUCAAAUCUUUGAAGAAAAGGACAUGGUUAUCAGAGAGGCUUUGACGACAGCAAGGACGGGAGUGCUAUCUGCCUUUUUCCAUCAGAGAUUCCCAUUCCCUCUCAUUAACAUACUCAGGACAUCAGCACAGCCAUGGGCCCGAGGGAAUCGCUUCCAACUUUUAAGGGAAUACGCACAAGACCUCGUCCCUGCGUUGUUUCAGACAGAUCAAACCAGAUUUGCCUCGUGUAAGGGUUCUUCAGUCCCACUGAGGAUGUGAUGUGGAAGCUGCUGAAACAAUCUCCCCUUUUUGAGAGGAUAAAGUGUAAUGGGAAUAGGACUGCUCAGUGGAGAAUUCCUCGUGGCAGAAGGAUGGGCAGCAAGGAGAUUUCUGAGGUGGUUUGGAUGUCACUUCCAUCAAGUAGAAGGAAUGUUAUGCUAAAACUGUUUAUCAAAACUGAAACCUCAUGGAUUAUUUUGUUGAAAAAGUCAAAACACAACCACUGUUUUUUUUCCCUAGGGCAGAGAUUUUGUGUUAGAGAAGAAAAUGAGAAAACAACCAGGCCCCAAAAGAGGGGAAAAGGGAAAACCUGAGAUUAGAGCAGAGAGAAGGCAUGAAAAUAUGUAAGAGAAAUUUGAUGAAGACCUAAUUGUAUCCAAAAUCCACAAUUGCUUUGAAAUCCAAGGAACUACUGUCACAUUAUUUGUUUGGAGAGGCUCUACAGUCAAAAAAUCCCCAUCACUUGUAUCCCACUUUCAGAAUUACAGUCUAUUCCAUUCUGAAAUCCCAAAAGACAGGUAAAACCCCUGGAUUUAUGACACUUGGGAAUGUUGGAAUGACACACAAGUAGCUGGGUUUUCCCAGGAAUGUUGUCCUGGGAUAUUUGAGUAACACAAGCUCUGGCAGAGGUGCUGGGGGUGUGAUGUGGGCACAGGAGCACUGUGAGUUCACGAUGUCACCGCUCUUCCUGGACAUCCCUUGGCACUUUGGAGCUGGGUAAAUCCAGCCAGGAACCUGCCAGUGCCUUCAGCAGGGCUGGAAUUCCAUCCCAGAGUGACACGGGCUGGUGACAUGGAGUGAUGUCAGGUCACUGAUGUAGAACUGGAAAGAUUCCUUGUCACAUCACUGAUCCCAUCGGGUUGCCAAAUUUCACUUGGGAUUUUUUACCAAGUUUCCAUUGCAAAUAUAUGGAUAACAUGUUUAGGCAUUAUCCUUAAAAAAGUAAAGAAAUAAUUUCUUUAAGAGAUGGGUGAUCUGUAGAAGACACUUGUGUAAUUUUGCAUUCUAAAUGUGAUUUAUAUUUGUAAAUAAAUUUGCAUAAAAUCUCCAGCUCUUGAUGUCAUAGUUCUAUUCUAUCUUUAAUUCAGAUGCUCAAAAAAUGUAAAUUAUUUUUACAGCUAAAUAAAAGCCAUACAAAGCU